GUGCUAACUUUAACAGCACAUAUACUAAAAUUGGAAUGACACAAAGAAGAUUAGCAUGGCCCUUGUGUAAGGAUGACACACAAAUUCAUGAAGCUUUCCAUAUUUUG
Small nuclear RNA from Oryctolagus cuniculus (rabbit), 107 nucleotides. Lineage: Eukaryota; Metazoa; Chordata; Mammalia; Lagomorpha; Leporidae. The record is from Ensembl.